Molecule: long non-coding RNA, 235 nt
Filed under: Carica papaya (papaya)
Lineage: Eukaryota; Viridiplantae; Streptophyta; Magnoliopsida; Brassicales; Caricaceae
Description: long non-coding RNA (CPAP_LNC009819)
Source: RNAcentral
GAAGGAUCUUAACAUGCAUAAGAGGUAUUGGAUAGAGCUCCUGAAGGACUACAAUUUUAAGAUCUUGUAUCACCUAAGUAAGGGUAAUGUGGUAGCUAACACACUCAUGGAGAAAAGUGCACGUAUGUUAGCUCACAUAAUGGUUUCUGAAUGUAGGGUAAUAAGGGUUGCGCAACAGAUACAGCUUCAAAAUUUGAAAAGGGCCGCAUGAUUGGCCCAUCUAGCUGUUCAACUC